UCCAAAGGCCUCUACAUUUCUCCCCA
Molecule: non-coding RNA, 26 nt
Filed under: Mus musculus (house mouse)
Lineage: Eukaryota; Metazoa; Chordata; Mammalia; Rodentia; Muridae
Source: RNAcentral